GAGAAUAAAGCUUGAAAUUAAAUUCCCUCUUGCCAUGGUCAUGUCCAUCCCUGGCUUCCCUGGAUCUCAGCCCGUUGGCAGGGCUCCUGUACCCUAAAUGAUGGCCCAGGUGGUAAUGACACUAUUGUACCCUGCCUGCCUCUAUGCACUGAUCUUUCCUGGAUUUCCUAAUGAGAAUGGCCAUUGGGAUUUUGAAGCAGUCCGAUAAAUAGUGCCCGUAUUCCCUGUCCAUAUUCUGAAUCAGAAAUAAGGCAGAGAGUAAGGAAGCUGUAGGCCAAAUCUCAUCUUAGUAUAAAUAAGUGCUAGAUUGGAGAAUGUAGUUUACUGCAGGAGCAAAAUGAAUUUCUGUUGCAGGGGAGUAGGAAACAAAAUCCAAGAUGAAGGUUGGCUUGCAGAGGUUUAUUAGGAGUCCUUUUGGGAUCUAUACCAAUAGGAGGGGAAGGAAUGGAAGCAGGAUUGGCAGAGGGAAAAGUCAAGCAGUGCUGCAGUCUUAUCAAAGAUCUCAACCGAUUCUGUGGAGCAUGUUGGGUCUUUAUACUUUUUUUGUUGUUGUUUUAAUCUAGUCUUCAUUUUUACUGAAGUUACCAUGAUGAAAAACUCUCAAUUGUUAUCCUAGGGUUACUACAAACAACAGAUCCUGGCUAUGACCACUGCACCAAUUGCCAGCUACUAUGAGGCAAUGACUUACAAUCCUUCUGGCUUUAAAAAAAUUAUUAACUAAAAAAAAUGCUAAUACUGCUAUAUGUGAAUAUUUUAGUUUGAAAUAGUAUCUGUUCAUAUUUUACUUUGGAAGAUGACUCUCUGACACCCUCCUAAAUUAGUUAUACCGUCUUCUUUAUUUGCAGCACUCACAG
RNAcentral lists this long non-coding RNA (854 nucleotides) under Homo sapiens (human). RNAcentral's name for it is "long non-coding RNA NONHSAT226019". The record is from RNAcentral. Lineage: Eukaryota; Metazoa; Chordata; Mammalia; Primates; Hominidae.